RNAcentral lists this long non-coding RNA (230 nucleotides) under Lathyrus oleraceus (garden pea). RNAcentral describes it as "Pisum sativum (pea) long non-coding RNA (PSAT_LNC032747)". The record is from RNAcentral. Lineage: Eukaryota; Viridiplantae; Streptophyta; Magnoliopsida; Fabales; Fabaceae.
AAAAAUCGUUUGGAGUCAAGUUAACACAAACUUGUUAUAGUAUGCUUUCAAAAUAAACCCUACCUCAAUUAGGUCUUUUAAGGGUUGUAACGUGGUCUGGUUCACGGUUCUUGAAACAAAAGGAAAUAAGGCUCAAAAGUUAUUUUUACCCACCCCUAUUAGGUCUUUUAAGGGUUGUAACGUGGUCUGGUUCACGGUUCUUGAAACAAAAGGAAAUAAGGCUCAAAAGU